Mycena latifolia is the source of this 82-nucleotide non-coding RNA. NCBI's taxonomy places the organism in Eukaryota, Fungi, Basidiomycota, Agaricomycetes, Agaricales, Mycenaceae. The record is from the annotation of a GenBank genome assembly.
GCAUCGGUGGGGUAUGAUGGAAACCUACAGCUUAUUCGUCCUGGUAAUGGCUGAGCUCGGGGUUCAACUCCCCGCCGAUGCA